This is a non-coding RNA of Rattus norvegicus (Norway rat), 5425 nucleotides long. Lineage: Eukaryota; Metazoa; Chordata; Mammalia; Rodentia; Muridae. The record is from RefSeq and is a predicted model, not a curated record.
UAAAGGGGCAGUCCCUCAGUUUGUAGCCACGGAAUCUCAUUUAUUUUCACCUGGCAACUGGUGAAACUUGCCUUCCUGUGCAGGUCUUCAGUCUCCCAUUGGCACGCCAUGCUGCACUGAGCUUACUCAAAACCACACCCCUCUGCCCUUCCUGGACCUCCUGGAUGGUUCCUGUUGCCUACUAGAGCCUUUUGCAUGCUCUUGCCUUUGAUUCCAUUAUGCCCGAUUGUUGACUUGAAACCCCUUAAGUGCUCUGGGCUUUCCCAGUCCCUCCGGAGGAAACCUCGGGUUUCUCCUUCCUUACCACUGCAUUUGUAAGGGUUGGCUCAGGAUCACAUCCUCACCGUGCAGGCUAGAAAUGGUUUCAGUUUCUAUUCUCACUGUGACCAAAUCUGUAACAGAAAGCAACUUAAGAAUGGCUUUAGCUUAGCUCCGGCUUUGAGGGAGCAGGCCACACGAUGGGGAAAGUGUGUAGCCAGAGCAGCCCUUGGCUGGCAGCAGGAGUGGGAGGCUGCUCGCACAUCUGAGCAGGUCCAGAGCAAAGGCAAGAGUCCUAGAGGAGUGAGUCAUCUGGAUUUCUUCUUCACUCAUUAAUUAUAUGUGUUUGGCUUUUUGAAGCAGGGUCUCACCUGGGUCUGGGCCUGGGUGGCCGCUGAGUUGGCAGCCUGCCAACACUCUUGUGCCUGUGCCACCAGGUCCAGCUCUCUCCCACUUCACCCAGGCAAGAGGCAAGGCUAGCUCUCCUGUCUACGGCUGUACUGGAACUCACUCUGUAGACUUGGCUGGUUUCAAAGUCACAGAGAUCUGACUGCCUCUGCCUCCCGGGUACUGGGAUUAAAGAUGUGCAGCACCAAACCUGGCUAAAAAAUACCUUCUUACUGUGCACAAGCACAGCAGGAGUGUAGAGUCAGAUGUCCCCGCCAGCGGGGACCCAGUUAUUCAGGGUCCCGAAGAGGCUUUCUACCUGUGGGCCAAAUGGGGGUGAAGAGAAGAAGGAGACCAAGCAAAAGUUCUGUUGUCAAGGUCUCGUUUAUUGGGAUGAACGUUACAGCUUUUAAGGCUUUCAGGUAGGGGGAGUGACCUUUGUGAAAUAGGUAGGAGGGGGAGAUGAGGAUAUAAGCAGUGAUAGCUGGAGGCAAAGAGGUCAGGCGGUAGAGACACCGGGUGUUGACUCAGGAGAUAACUGAUUUUUACUUAGGCUGAAGCAUCCCGUGAAUGUUAUCUUCCUGUGCCAUAAAUUCAUGGGAGAGGCUCUUUGAGGAGUAUGUGUGGCCAAGAGUCACGUAGCCACUUUGAGCUAUACAGUCACAAAAUGGCCAGGCCCAAAUCCAAUAUGGCUCCUUACAGUCAGAGGGUAGCUUUCAGGAGUCAGUUCUCCUCUUCUCCAGUGGGCUCCAAGGCUGGCACUCAGCUGGUCAGGCAUGUGUGGUCAGGGGCUUUCACCCACCGACCUGUCUCUCAUGCCGCUCUCUGCUCACUUUUAAAAACCUUGUAUUGAUUCUUUGUGAAUUUCACAUUGUAUAUCCCAAUCCCACUCCUCCUCCAUAACCACCCUCUGCCCUUGCAACUACCCCUCAAAAGAGAACAAAAUAUAGAAACAAACAAACAAAAAAUCUAACUGUGGAAACUGCAGUGUGUCACGGUGUGUCCCACAGUAUACCUUUUGCCCAAAUAGCUUCACCUGCAAAUGUUCAUUGUAGCGAGUCAUUGGGCUGGUUUGGGGCCUCUGGCUUCAUGAUACCAUCAAUGCUGGGUCCUCACCAGGAUUCCUCUGUUAUCUGCUGCUGUCCUGUGUCACAGGGGGCCUGUAGCAUUGGUUCUGUGGGAGCAGCCCUUCACAUGCUCCAGCCGUUCAUACAUGGGGUAGAUGCUGGGUGGGCCAGCUGAAUCUGGCCCGCGUGGUAGCUGAGUGGGCAGCCUGCCAGCUUUCCCGUGCCUGUGCCACCAGGUCCAUCUCUCCCACUUGACCAAGGCAAGAGGCAAGGCUAGCUCUCCUGUCUGCAGCAGCUGGCAAGUGGCUGUCCUGUGCUCACACCAUCUGGGCCAGGUCUCCCACUCCCGUACCCUCAGGGCCAACUCUUGCACACUGCCCAGGCGAGAGUCAGGGCCAACUCCUCCAUACUCAUGCCCUCUGGACCAGUUCACAUGCAUCCCUGCCACCAGGGCCAGCUCAGGCCUGCUCAGGUAAGGUGCAGGCCGGCUCUCCAGAGAACUGCAGCUGGCAAGGGAUGGGGGCAGCUCUAUGUAGCCCUCAGAGGCCAGCAUGGCCCCAAGUGGCAGCACCUGGGAUGGACCAGGGAUGUCCACGUGGUCUUCGGUGGUAAUACGGGCCAUGGACAUCGGCACAGUGCCUUGCUGCCGCAGGGCCACACACCCAGUGCCUUCUGUUCGUUUUUAUUCAUUCCAAGAUCCCAUGUCAUAUGACACGGUGCUGCCCACAUUUGAGAUAGGUCUUCUUCCACCUGCAAACACCCACAAAGACCAUCUAGAGAGUCAAGUCAUUAAUGCAUUGGUCCAUUCUCUGGAAAGCAGACACAAAGCACAGGAAGACUCGUGCAGCGAACAGUCCCUUCCUGAGACAUGCCCCAGCCUAUGAAGUUCACCGUGCACACUCUCUGAAGUUGGGGAUCUUGGAACUAGUUUCAGAGGCUGGCGGAGCCCCAUGCGAUACAUAGUUUCUCCUUAGGAACAGGGCUGAGGGGAGUGAACAAGUUACUCUCCCUUGCGUGCGCUGGGCAGCCUCUGUUCUUCAGCAGAGCACAGAGUGCACCUGGGAGAGAGUGGCGCUUGUGUGGAGCAAUUACCCUGUUUGUGCAGGAAAUAGGGAAGGCAGAAGGCACCGGGCAGAAAUGGCAGUUUGAGUGCUGAGCACGUGGUAGUCAGUCAUUCAGCUAUUAAUUCAUUAAACACACACUGCUGAGAAUGGGGGCAGGAAAAGGCAGUAAAACUGAUAGGGUACAAUCGCUUUCCUCAAAGAGCUGAUAAUUCAGUUCUGGGAAGUUAAGAGAUAUGAGUGCUUGCUCUUCGUGUGUGUGUGUGUGUGUGUGUGUGUGUGUGUGUGUGUGUGUGUAGCACAGAGAAGAGAGAGGGUUAUCCUGUCCUGGUAGUGGAAGACCUCUGAUGCCUGUAGCCUGGUUUGACACCUUGCACCUUUCUGUAAAGCCUCAGGUCAGCUUACUGCAACUGAACUGCCUGGAGGGGAGUUCCAGACCCUAGAUGCCAGUUCCAGUGACCCCUAGUCUGCCUGCACCCAUGAAUGCCUGCCUGUCCACAGUUUCAGGGUCACACAACUCAGUAAAAAAAUCACAGAGAACUUAAGAAGGGCCUCCAGUUACUAGAUAUGCUUUUGUAGGUGCAAGUGUGUGAGCACACAUGUGUCCACAUGUAUGUGUUCCCUUGUGUUUGCAUAUGUGUGGUUGGUAUGUGAGUGCAUUGUGUGUGUGUGUGUGUGUGUGUGUGUGUGUGUGUGUGUGUGUGUGUGUAGGUCAGAGGACAACUUCAGUAUUGUUCCUCAGAAGUCAUCCACCUUGCUCUCUCUUUUCAUUGUUUGUUUGAGACAGGGUUUUACUGGCCUGGAACUUUCUUUCUUGGAUAGACUCAUCACACCACAGGAAUCCACCUGUUGGCUUCCCCAGUGUUGGGUUUACCAUUGUGCACUACCAUGCCCAGCCUUUAAAAUGUGGGUUCUGGAAGUUAAACUCAGGGUCUCAGGCUUGUAAGGUAAACGUUUUACUGACUGAGUUAUCUCCCUGGCCUGUUCUAUGGCUUCCUUAUAACAUGCAUUCACAGUACAAGGUUGAAGAAAGACACAUACCUUCAGUGUCCUUCCCUUGGGGAGUCAGGUUGUCACCCUCCUGGCACAUCGACCUGUUCACAGGCUGCAAAUCUCCACUGAGCUGCAGUCUGCAAACCAGCCAUUAGGACUUCAGUCUGCCUGUUCAGUAGGCAUGAUGGUUUAAACCACUGAUUCACCAUUGAGUUCCUGCAGGCCCCUUCUUCCUUAGAGCCUCUGGCUGGACCUUCUCAAGCCCCAUCGGAACACUAGCUUGGGAGCUUCCAAUAAUCACUUUACUAGUGUGAAGAAAGCAUUCAUCAGGAAACGCCAAGACUCUUUAGGACCUCUAUGGCAGGCUCCAGGCUAAGGAGGAAACAUUUCAGUCAGUACAUCUUGACUUAAAAUAUCAGCCUGCAUUUUGGAAGUUAGACAUCCAUGCCAAUCUCCAGCUUUCCAUGUGACUUUGGGAGGCUCUGUUAACUCUGAUUUGAACCAUUUUUUCUUUCUCUGUACAGUGCAGGAAGUGUCUUUCUACCAUCAAGGCCAUUAAAAACCCAGGCUAGUUGAAAUGAACCUAUUGAGUCAGUGAGGAGGUGGAUAAGUGAAGACUCAUUACAGACCCAGUCAGCGCUGGCACAGAGCCGACUGGAGGAAGAUGGACUAAUUUGCAUAAAUCUGCUUCUGAGCACAGCUGGCCUUGCAAUAGGAAAGCGAGUUAUACCCUUUCUCGACUCACCUCUUGCUCCACUGAGUAACUUUUGCACAGCAAGUCCCCACCCAGUGAACCAGAUCAGUCACAGAAGACACCCUGCCUCCGGCUUCCCCAGCAAGCUCCAAUCUGAGCACGCUGAAGUGGUCCCCACAGCUCUGCUUCUUUAAGUCUUUCCACUUCUUCCUGCUUCUGCGCCUCUGCUGAUUGGCAAAGCACAAUGCUGGUGGCCUUGCUGUGGCAACGAGGUGGAAGCGAAUGGCCUACCUGCUCUUUGUCUCGGGAUUGGGGAUGACUUUUGUUUCUACACAGAGUGAGAUAGCUUCUUGCUGUCAUUUUAGAAGGACAGAGCCAUAUGAGCCUUCAUGGGGAGAAGGGAAGAGGGCUGUGGAAUAAGGUAACCUGUCCUUUUCGAUGAACCCUGGAUUCUUAAAAGAGAGGCAUUGGUUCAGAGUGAAAUGGACAUUCUCCUGGGUCAGGCAGUGACAGACAACAGUAGGCUCUAAGCAGAGUGCUGUCUAUGACCACCUUUCUAACCCCAGAGAAGACGUUAGCAUCUCUGAUCGCCCACAGUGAAAUAUGGAUGAUUCAGCUCCUCCAGGGGUAAAGUGUGUUCUACUGCAGAUGCUGCUGACAUCAUGGGCAACCUACUCCAUCUGUCAUUUCCUCCCAGCAUUCUGCUGUCUCAGGGCUCUUGCUCUCAUCAUGUUUCCCAGCAGAGCCACAGGUGGUAAAGCCAGUUGUCAAGCCAUAGAUGACAAGUGUGACCCCACAAUGCCCAGCCAGGGCAUGAGGGAGGGGUUACCCUAAGGGAGGCCAGGCAGGGGCAUCAGUGCUCAGGAAGAGGGGUUGGCAUACCCUCAAGGUCUAAAGAAUAAGCUUCACUCCACAGAGAAGACAGACCAGUGGUUGGUUAAUUAAUAAACAUCUCUUGUCUCCCA